Molecule: ribosomal RNA, 515 nt
Filed under: Cacopsylla pyricola
Lineage: Eukaryota; Metazoa; Arthropoda; Insecta; Hemiptera; Psyllidae
Description: partial 16S ribosomal RNA
Rfam family: Archaeal large subunit ribosomal RNA
Source: RNAcentral
UGGCGUGUUUUUACAAAAACAUUUCUGAGGGGAAAAUGUUUUUGGUUUAACCUGCUCAAUGCUUAAGUAAAUAGCUGCAGUAUUUUGACUGUACAAAGGUAGCAUAAUCAUUAGUCUUUUGAUUGAAGGCUUGUAUGAAUGGUUGAACAGAAUAUUGACUUUUUUGAUUUUAUGAUAUUUUAACUUACAGUUUAUGUAAAAAUACAUAGUUACUUAAAAGGGACGAUAAGACCCUAUAGAAUUUAAAAUUGUUUAUGAAAAAUUUUUAUUUUUUGUUGGGGUGACAGUAAAUAAACUUUUACAUAAUUUUCAUUGUUGAGUGAGUGAAUGAUCCUAAUAUUUUAGAUAGAAAGAUAAAAUUACCUUAGGGAUAACAGCAUAAUUUUUUUUAAAAGAUCUUAUUAAUAAAAAGGAUUAUGACCUCGAUGUUGAAUUAAAAUAAAAUUUUGGUGUAGAAGCUUAAUUUUUUAGUCUGUUCGACUUUAAAUUUUACAUGAUCUGAUUUCCAGACCGGA